UAAUAAAGCAGAUCGCAUGAUUUUUUUUGAAAGNCGGCUUAGGCUGUCCCUAAGGGAUGGNCCCGCGGUGCAUUAGCUAGUUGGUAAGGUAACGGCUUACCAAGGCGANGAUGCAUAGCCGAGUUGAGAGACUGAUCGGCCACAUUGGNACUGAGACACGGCCCAUACUCCUACGGGAGGCAGCAGUAGGGAAUCUUCCACAAUGGACGCAAGUCUGAUGGAGCAACGCCGCGUGAGUGAAGAAGGUUUUCGGNUCGUAAAGCUCUGUUGUUGGUGAAGAACGAUAGAGGUAGUAACUGGNCUUUNUUUGACGGUAAUCAACCAGAAAGUCACGGCUAACUACGUGCCAGCAGCCGCGGUAAUACCAUAA
RNAcentral lists this ribosomal RNA (370 nucleotides) under uncultured Lactobacillus sp. RNAcentral's name for it is "bacterial SSU rRNA". It matches the Rfam family "Bacterial small subunit ribosomal RNA", at positions 173 to 530 of the family's 1533-position model. Lineage: Bacteria; Bacillati; Bacillota; Bacilli; Lactobacillales; Lactobacillaceae. The record is from RNAcentral.